This 508-nucleotide ribosomal RNA is filed under the name uncultured bacterium. RNAcentral describes it as "partial 16S ribosomal RNA". It matches the Rfam family "Bacterial small subunit ribosomal RNA", at positions 28 to 523 of the family's 1533-position model. The record is from RNAcentral.
GAUGAACGCUAGCUACAGGCUUAACACAUGCAAGUCGAGGGGAAACGACAUCGAAAGCUUGCUUUUGAUGGGCGUCGACCGGCGCACGGGUGAGUAACGCGUAUCCAACCUGCCCACCACUCGGGGAUAACCUUGCGAAAGUAAGACUAAUACCCAAUGAUAUCUCUAGAAGACAUCUGAAAGAGAUUAAAGAUUUAUCGGUGAUGGAUGGGGAUGCGUCUGAUUAGCUUGUUGGCGGGGUAACGGCCCACCAAGGCAACGAUCAGUAGGGGUUCUGAGAGGAAGGUCCCCCACAUUGGAACUGAGACACGGUCCAAACUCCUACGGGAGGCAGCAGUGAGGAAUAUUGGUCAAUGGACGAGAGUCUGAACCAGCCAAGUAGCGUGCAGGAUGACGGCCCUAUGGGUUGUAAACUGCUUUUAUAAGGGAAUGAAGUGAGUCUCGUGAGGCUUUUUGCAUGUACCUUAUGAAUAAGGACCGGCUAAUUCCGUGCCAGCAGCCGCCGUAA